This 1944-nucleotide long non-coding RNA is filed under the name Homo sapiens (human). Its description in RNAcentral is "HSALNT0357948". The record is from RNAcentral. Lineage: Eukaryota; Metazoa; Chordata; Mammalia; Primates; Hominidae.
UGGGAGGAUCACUUGAGCCUGGGAAGUGGAGCCUGCAGUGAGCUGUGAUCAUACCGCUGCACGCCAGGAUCAAUUACAGAAUGAGACCAUGUCUCAAAAAAAAAAAAAUAAAUAAAUAAGGUAAGGUUUAGCAGGUUAGGUAAAAUAUAUUUUAUGUGAGAAAGUUAAAUAAUCUACCCCAAAUCAUAAAACUACAGAAUGGCAAAUACGAAAUGUAGAACUAAAUUAUUAACUCCAAACCCAGAGCCUUCCCUCAAAAUUCUGGCUAGAAAUGGCAAUGCUUAGAUGAAUAACUUCUGUUUCCUCUUCAAACAUUAAUAUUCCAGUAUGCCUGGAGUGGGAGGAACAUUACACUAUACUUCUUUCUCCUCCUUCAUUAGUGAAGGUCACUGGAAUAGGUUCAUUACACUCAAGCAAAGGCCUGGGGAAAUGAUAGAAUUACCUCUGUUGACCCAGAAGAGCACCAAAAGCACCAGUGUGCAGAAAUCAGAGACCUCAAGCUAAAAGUCAUAAAAGGACAAGAACCUGGAAGUCGUCGAACUGUGGAAGCAAAAGACCUGUAAUGCUCCUGCUUGCCGAGCUGUGAGCAGUGGUAGUAAAAGAGCAGUAACAUUCUCUCCUGCUUGCCAAACAGGAGAGAAGCCACUGGCACCACUCCCUCCCACUCACUGAACUAUAGAAGAGAAAAAAUUGAAACACCAAAAUUGGGGAAAUGCGACUUUUGCGAAAAUUUGAAAGUGCAUGCUUCACAGAAGGAAGGGGGAGCUGGUCUAUUAUGUCUCACUAUAACAAGACUAAAAUUUUGCAAAUAAAUUGUUCCUGCCAUAAUUUAUCCUUGGUAGAAAUGAAGAAAUUGGAGAGAGAAAAAAUUGGAUUCUAGGUCCUGACCAUUGUUUUUGAAUUUUUAUUAUUUUCCUACAAUUUAGGCUAAAUUCUGAACUAUUUGCUGGCUACAAGAGGCCUCUAAAAAAGAGCUGGGUUUUAGUUUUCUUCAUGCUCUUUAAAAACUGGCAUAUAAUGGUGUGUAUCUCUCGUUGUUUUACUUCUAAGAAACUGAAGGCAUGAUAUUCUGAAGACUAGAGGUGAUUCAAUAGCCUAUGAAUCUUCUUCAUUUGGAACCCCACUGGGCCUGAUCUGUUUCCCAUCACCAAUGCACUUCUGCUAAACCUAUAUCCUAUCAAGUACUCUCCCUAAAUGCUCAGAGACCAUAACAGAAGAUGAGGGUGUGUGAGAUUAUAAAAGCCAAAUUAGUGGAGUGGAAUCUGGAGGCUAAAGCAACUCCAUCUUGGAUGCUAAUCUGCCAUGUUGGCUUCUGAUUAACCCCAGUUCUGGAGGGCCUCUGAGGUUUCCAAUUUAUCUACUGUCCCUUGUGUAAGAACAAGUACUUAUCAUAAAUCCUGCUAUUAGGGCAAAUUUCUACCCAUUCCCUCUGAAGCAUGUGCACCUCUCCUCUACAUGUAAUCUCCCCUACAAUAGAUAAACCCCUCUGGGUCUGGGGGCUAAUAGUGUGGGAACCCAUCAUCUUGCCUCACUGCUGCACAAGCCACAGGUGUGGCUUCUGUUUCUAAGUCCCUAUUAAAUGUUUCUAGAUACCAGAUGUAUCAACCUCUUUCUUCAGCCUCUCAGCUUCCUGGGACUUUGGGGUUGGUUUGCAUAGACCUACCCACCAAAAAACUCUCACAGAGUCAGUCUUAAAUACAUACAGAGCACGGUUGGGAAAAUUCCAUGAAUAUUUAUAGGGGAAGUCAUGUGCUUGAAAAUUGGAUAAACUUGUAUGUAACAUACAUUCCAUUUUGACCUGGGGGUGAGGUUUCAGCUGGGAUUCGACUGUUUAUGUCAAAAGGUAAACUCUAGGGCAAAAAGAAUUUGGACAUAGUCUCUGCAAGCUGACUGAAACUGGCUUAAGAUCUAUGGUCACUUAUCAAUAAAGAAUGUGAUAAAAAC